Molecule: ribosomal RNA, 21 nt
Filed under: Megalophaedusa bilabrata
Lineage: Eukaryota; Metazoa; Mollusca; Gastropoda; Stylommatophora; Clausiliidae
Description: Tyrannophaedusa bilabrata partial 5.8S rRNA
Source: RNAcentral
GAAAAACCAGAAAGAAAAUGG